CGAGUACAGUGGCAGACGGGUGAGUAACACGUGGGUAACCUGCCCGGAGGUGGGGGAUAACCCUUCGAAAGGAGGGCUAAUACCGCAUAACAUCCCGGAGUCCUCGGAUCCCGGGAUCAAAGCUUGCCUCUGCUUGCACGCAAGCGCCACCGGAGGGGCCCGCGCCCCAUUAGCUUGUUGGUGAGGUAACGGCUCACCAAGGCGACGAUGGGUAGCCGGCCUGAGAGGGUGUCCGGCCACACUGGAACUGAGACACGGUCCAGACUCCUACGGGAGGCAGCAGUGAGGAAUCUUGCGCAAUGGGCGAAAGCCUGACGCAGCGACGCCGCGUGGAGGACGAAGGCCUUCGGGUCGUAAACUCCUGUCAAGAGGGACGAAUCCCGGACGGAUGAAUAAGCCGGCCGGUUGACGGUACCUCUGGAGGAAGCCCCGGCUAACUCCGUGCCAGCAGCCGCGGUAAU
Molecule: ribosomal RNA, 461 nt
Filed under: uncultured bacterium
Lineage: Bacteria
Description: bacterial SSU rRNA
Rfam family: Bacterial small subunit ribosomal RNA
Source: RNAcentral